RNAcentral lists this ribosomal RNA (393 nucleotides) under uncultured bacterium. Its description in RNAcentral is "partial 16S ribosomal RNA". It matches the Rfam family "Bacterial small subunit ribosomal RNA", at positions 523 to 918 of the family's 1533-position model. The record is from RNAcentral.
AUACGGAGGAUGCAAGCGUUAUCCGGAUUUAUUGGGUUUAAAGGGGGCGUAGGCUGUUCGGAAAGUCAGGGGUGAAAGCCCGGCGCCUAACGCCGGAACUGCCUUUGAUACUUCCGAGCUGGAAUACGGAUGCCGUGGGAGGAAUGAGUAGUGUAGCGGUGAAAUGCAUAGAUAUUACUCAGAACACCGAUUGCGAAGGCAUCUCACGAAUCCGUCAUUGACGCUGAGGCACGAAAGCGUGGGGAUCAAACAGGAUUAGAUACCCCGGUAGUCCACGCAGUAAACGAUGAUGACUAACCGUCGGCGAUACACAGUCGGUGGCCAAGCGAAAGCGAUAAGUCAUCCACCUGGGGAGUACGUUCGCAAGAAUGAAACUCAAAUGAAUUGACGGGG